Xenopus laevis (African clawed frog) is the source of this 2939-nucleotide long non-coding RNA. RefSeq lists it as uncharacterized. Lineage: Eukaryota; Metazoa; Chordata; Amphibia; Anura; Pipidae. The record is from RefSeq and is a predicted model, not a curated record. The transcript has 5 exons.
CAGUGAUCCCAAUGUUAUUAAUAGGGAAUAAAGAUAAAUAUAUAGGAAGGCUGGUAUUUUUUUCUAAAAAAGGUGGCAACCCUAGCUGUGACAAUGGAAAGGUUGGCCCCUCGUAUGGUGUUUGUUCAGAAAUACCGUGCGAGUGUGAUGUUUGAGACCCUAAUAUGACAGUAUUAUAUCCAUAAACAGGCCAACCCAUUAAUUCUUUUAGUUGCAGCUGUCCUUCAUGAGAUCCCCAAUCCAACAGGCAGUGAUGUAAAGGAGCCAGACCCACUGCCAAAAACAUUUCUGGCCCUUAUCAAGCCUGACCUGCACCCCAGCGCUCUCUUUCCGAUGCAAGUAGGUGGGCUGACUUUGCGGGUAGUAGCUAGAGUUGCCACCUGAUUGGUAUUUUACCAUCCUUGAUGGCAAAAAUAAUGCUUGAUUCUAAUGUUAUUAAAGGAGAAUAAAAUGUACUCAAAGGGCUCAAAUUACAGCAGGGAGGGGAAGAGGAGCAAACUGAGCAUGCUCAAGCCCUGCCCUGGAGGUUUACUCUGACUUUCCCUUUAAUUUGCUCUAACGCUCAGAUGCAGUGGUAGAUUAGCAUAAAUGCAACCUAGACGGUCACCCGGGCCUAUGGUUUCUAGGGCCUUGGAGAGGGAGCAGAGCUGGGGAAAAUUAAAUUAAGGGGGGGCAUGGCACUGACCAGGGACUUCUGGGGCUGGACAUCACAAGGGAUUUCUGGGAAAGCAGUAAAGGUGGCAGUGCAGCAGUUAAUGGUAUACUACCCAUGGGGCUGGUCCUUUAAUUGUAAUCCUGGAGUAAUAACGUAACCCACUGAUGUCAUAUAGAUGAAGAUCAUCCCAUUAUAUAGUUUAAUAAGGGAUUAAGCAUUAUAAAUACCGUUUAUUUUUAUUGGCUGUAUGGCUGGACAUGAUGAGCCUUUGUGUUCUGUAACUUGUUGAAUGCAAACUCCUAAACCUGGAAGUAACAUUCAGGUAAGUUAGACUUUGAUAUUUAAAUGAUAGCGAAUGAGGAAACAUCUCCGCCCUGGUAGAGCACGUUUGGCCCUAGUGGUACCAUCUUACGUUGGGAUGUGUAGGCUCUGUUGAUCCGUUUCUGUGUGCCCUCCUCCACUUGAUCCCUACAGGAAUAACUAAAUGGUCUCUUGUUACCUCUAGGUUCCUCGUAAAUACGUAAAGACGCAUCCACCCAUGUCUGGGUUAUGCCACCGCUCUUCAUUGUGUGUUUGAGGAGAAGCAAAGACGUUAGGCUAGUUGGCCUUAUAUGCAGGCUUUGGUUUUAAAACCUCUGAAUGACCCUUCCCAGCACCUGUAGACGGGCAAAGGCUGUUACUGAACGUCGCAUUUCAUCCAUAGCUGGAGGGCCACAGGCAUGUCGUUUCCUCGUUUAUUGUACAGCAGAACCUGCUCUGUCAGAUUACAAGGCAAUUGAGAAGGUGAAAUUGGGGAAAAGGAAAGGAGACAUUGAUAGAUUGUUGUCCAAGAAAGAGAUGAAAUGGAUACUUUUGCUGGAAACAGUAACACCAAGAGGGCUAAAUAAGGAACGUGACAUUAAAUCUGGUGUAGAUUGAAUUUAUGUAAGAAAAAGAGCUAAAAAUUCGAAAAAUUUAAAACAAUAAGUAAAGAAUACAUGAGGAAUAGUAUAUAAGUGCGAAUAGUAAAAAAGUAAAAAUAUAUCAGAAAAAUUGCUGCAGAAUAUGAUUAGCAUACUCCAUACUUAACCCCUGAAUAAUGUAAUAUCAACAUCUAAAUUAUUGUUAUUAUCAUUAUUAAUAUUGGAUCAAUGUUUACGCCAAUUACUGAGUCAUCUUUUAUAGCUUUUAUAUAUUUAUGCUGUAGCAAAUAUAUUAUUAUGCAUACAUUGAAAGAAUAUAUAUAUACUAAUUGAUAUUGUUUUUUUAAAGUAAGAUCUAAUCAACAUGUUUGUUGUUUUUUAUUCAUUGGAAUGAAUAUACAAACGAUCAAUUGGUCUAUACUAUUGGUGGGGAACACCAUCAAGUAUUUAUUAUAUAUAUAUCAGGAUGAAUUUAACAAACAACACUGUUAAUAAGCAGCACGAAUGUAUAGAGACACAUGGAUUGAUUAUUUAUUUACUAUAUCACAAGAGACUGAUGAAUUUAUUGGAUGUACUCUUUUAAUUGAUAUGCAAAUGUUUUAAUUGACACCUAUCACCCAAUCUAUUUAAUCUAAGUUACACGUGUGUAACACUGAACUCCGAGGAAGUGCCAUAAGGGCACGAAACGCGUUAGUUUCUGCUCAUGUAUAUCGCACUGUGUUUUUGAAUAAAAGACGUAUUCUUAAACAGCGACUCUCUUCGAUACUUGGAUCAGCGCCGGAUAGCGGGUUCAAUUCUAUUAUAUGCAUGCCGGACGGAAGUGACUGGGUCCCGCGAGAGCCGCGAUCCACGGGGAGAUGCUGCACAGCUAAGGUGCAAAUCAUCCAAGCCUCCGGCAUCUGCCUGUCAAUAACCAUCGUCCUGCUUAUUUCAAAGCAGCUGAAGAAUGCGGUCUGCUGAGAUUCUCCCUGUUCAUAACCGGCGUAGCCUCGGAAAGGAAAGCGACUGGAAAAAGUUCCUCUGCGCAUGAAAACCGCAGCGAGCGAUCCGCUGAGUUCUGCUUUUGUGGUUAUUCCCCCCCCCCCGAUGUUGAAAUCACUUCCAUGCAAGAUGACGGAUUCACUUGCACGGGUUUGGUCUUCUCCAUAUUGUGCAAAACAAAACCAAAAUAUCUCCCUAAAAGCUAUAUUUUACAUGUGACCAAGAAAUGUGUUUUUUUUUUUAGGUGGGUGGGGUGGCCGGCUGCGCAGUUCCGAUUCAAUACAAAAACAUCUAACUUUAGUUAUUCACCUUUCCAUUAACCAUUAGUAUGAUGUAGAGAAGGAUAUUCUGAGACAAUUUGCAAUUGGUUUUCAUUUUUUAUUAUUUGUGGUUUUUGACUU